Lepidothrix coronata (blue-crowned manakin) is the source of this 573-nucleotide long non-coding RNA. RefSeq lists it as uncharacterized. The record is from RefSeq and is a predicted model, not a curated record. NCBI's taxonomy places the organism in Eukaryota, Metazoa, Chordata, Aves, Passeriformes, Pipridae. The transcript is spliced from 4 exons.
GGAAGGCAGGGAUCCAGAACGAUCUGCAGAGUAGCCCUGGGGAGGAGGACCUGGGGGUGUUGGUGUACCCUGUGCCCUGAGCUGAUCCCACAGGGAUCGUGGGCAGCAGAGGAGGGGGGAUUCUGCCCCUCUGCCCCCUCAGGAGCCAACCGAGUGCUUGGAUACGUUUACAGCGCCCAGGAGAUGCAUCUCUGGUGGAGAGUUUAUUUUUCCAUGUGACAUCACUGCUUUUCAGAUCAACUAAAGCAGAGAGGGAAGAGUGGGGUCCACAGCCCCACUGCCCCUGAUUGCCAGGAAUUCUCACAAAGCAUUUGAAUUGUUCAGGGAAUGUGUGUGGUAACGACACAGGAAUUAUGGAACGUGGAGCAGAACAGGUUAAAUCAGAGCUGUGGAGAUUGCUUGGAUAAUUCCUGCUCUGGUGCCAUGAAUUCUUAUUUUUUGGUCAGCACUUUAUCAACGCACGAAAAAGUCGCUCCAUCUCUGCAGGAGGGGGAGAAGCAACAGGUUGAUAAAACAGCCAAAUGAACCAUAAUUUAGGUUAAAAUGAAAAAUAGGGAUCGGAGAAAAGCAAAC